This is a non-coding RNA of Helianthus annuus (common sunflower), 106 nucleotides long. Lineage: Eukaryota; Viridiplantae; Streptophyta; Magnoliopsida; Asterales; Asteraceae. The record is from Rfam.
UACCAUGAUAAGGAAAAUUUCUUUAAAGUUCCUUGAACCUAUCCCAAGCAUCUAAGAAACUUUCACCAUCUUCUUGCUCAAAUCCAUAAAUCUUGCUACGCAAGCA